CGAGAUAUAACUCAGUUUGGUAGAGUGCGUGUACUUUGGGAGUACGAAGUCACAGGUUCAAGUCCUGUUAUCUCGA
Molecule: transfer RNA, 76 nt
Filed under: Caudoviricetes sp.
Lineage: Duplodnaviria; Heunggongvirae; Uroviricota; Caudoviricetes
Description: tRNA-Pro
Rfam family: tRNA
About the family: Transfer RNA (tRNA) molecules are approximately 80 nucleotides in length. Their secondary structure includes four short double-helical elements and three loops (D, anti-codon, and T loops).
Source: RNAcentral